AGAACGAACGCUGGCGGCAGGCUUAACACAUGCAAGUCGAGCGCCCAGCAAUGGGAGCGGCGGACGGGUGCGUAACACGUGGGAACAUGCCUUUCGGUACGGAACAACUGCGGGAAACUGCAGCUAAUGCCGUAUACGCCCUUACGGGGAAAGAUUUAUCGCCGAAAGAUUGGCCCGCGUCUGAUUAGCUAGUUGGUGAGGUAACGGCUCACCAAGGCUUCGAUCAGUAGCUGGUUUGAGAGAACGACCAGCCACACUGGGACUGAGACACGGCCCAGACUCCUACGGGAGGCAGCAGUGGGGAAUCUUGGACAAUGGGCGAAAGCCUGAUCCAGCCAUGCCGCGUGAGUGAUGAAGGCCUUCGGGUUGUAAACUCUUUUACCUGGGAAGAUAAUGACUGUACCAGGAGAAUAAGCCCGGCUAACUUCGCGCCAGCAGCCGC
This 442-nucleotide ribosomal RNA is filed under the name uncultured bacterium. RNAcentral's name for it is "SSU rRNA". It matches the Rfam family "Bacterial small subunit ribosomal RNA", at positions 26 to 518 of the family's 1533-position model. The record is from RNAcentral.